UCAUCUUCGUCAUCGUCAUCUUCAUUAUUGUCGUCAUUGUCGUCGUCGUCGUCAUUGUCGUUGUUGUUGGUGGUGGUGAUGGUGUUGUUGUUCUUGUUCUUCUUGUUGUUGUUAUUGUUGUUGUUGUUGUUGUUGUUGUUGUUGUUAUUGUUGUUGUUGUUGUUGUUGUUGUUGUUGUUGUUGUUGUUGUUGUUGUUGUUGUUG
This 204-nucleotide long non-coding RNA is filed under the name Hordeum vulgare. RNAcentral's name for it is "long non-coding RNA (HVUL_LNC021403)". The record is from RNAcentral. Lineage: Eukaryota; Viridiplantae; Streptophyta; Magnoliopsida; Poales; Poaceae.